UACGAAGGGGGCUAGCGUUGCUCGGAAUCACUGGGCGUAAAGCGCACGUAGGCGGCUUUCUAAGUCAGGGGUGAAAUCCUGGAGCUCAACUCCAGAACUGCCUUUGAUACUGGAGAGCUUGAGUCCGGGAGAGGUGAGUGGAACUCCGAGUGUAGAGGUGAAAUUCGUAGAUAUCAGGAGGAAUACCGGUGGCGAAAGCGACUCUCUGGACGGCAACUGACGCUGAGGCACGAAAGCGUGGGGAGCAAACAGG
RNAcentral lists this ribosomal RNA (253 nucleotides) under uncultured bacterium. RNAcentral describes it as "partial 16S ribosomal RNA". It matches the Rfam family "Bacterial small subunit ribosomal RNA", at positions 524 to 776 of the family's 1533-position model. The record is from RNAcentral.